This is a small nucleolar RNA of Macadamia integrifolia, 107 nucleotides long. The record is from RefSeq and is a predicted model, not a curated record. Lineage: Eukaryota; Viridiplantae; Streptophyta; Magnoliopsida; Proteales; Proteaceae.
AGGCCAUGAUGAGGGCAUUCUUGGAGUAGAUCCUUGAAUCUCUCAAUAAGUUUCGUAAAGGAUUCACUAGGCUUUUGCCUAAACUGAAUUCUAUCACUUCUAAGCUU